CCUACGGGAGGCAGCAGUGGGGAAUAUUGGACAAUGGGGGCAACCCUGAUCCAGCAAUGCCGCGUGUGUGGAGAAGGCCUGCGGGUUGUAAAGCACUUUCAGUAGGGAAGAAAAGCCCGGGACUAACAUUCCCGGGUCUUGACGUUACCUAAAGAAGAAGCACCGGCUAACUCCGUGCCAGCAGCCGCGGUAAUACGGAGGGUGCGAGCGUUAAUCGGAAUUACUGGGCGUAAAGCGCACGUAGGUGGUUGGGUAAGUCGGAUGUGAAAGCCCUGGGCUUAACCUGGGAACUGCAUUCGAUACUGCCCGACUAGAGUAUGGGAGAGGGAAGCGGAAUUUCCGGUGUAGCGGUGAAAUGCGUAGAUAUCGGAAGGAACACCAAUGGCGAAGGCAGCUUCCUGGCCCAAUACUGACACUCAGGUGCGAAAGCGUGGGGAUCAAACAGGAUUAGAUACCCUGGUAGUCCACGCUGUAAACGAUGAGAACUAGAUGUUGGGAGGGUUUUGCCUCUCAGUGUCGCAGCUAACGCGAUAAGUUCUCCGCCUGGGGAGUACGGCCGCAAGGUUGAAACUCAAAGGAAUUGACGG
This 587-nucleotide ribosomal RNA is filed under the name uncultured bacterium. Its description in RNAcentral is "bacterial SSU rRNA". It matches the Rfam family "Bacterial small subunit ribosomal RNA", at positions 338 to 916 of the family's 1533-position model. The record is from RNAcentral.